GGGGGGCGGAGCCCGUAGUGACUGCGCACACUCAAGGGUCCCGCGCGUGACGCACUCCCCCCACCCAUGACCGUAGAAAUCCCCCCCAACGUCAUUGGCUGCGGAAAGUCUCGUCUGUGCGCCUGCGUGAACCAACAGCCGGCAAGGCGAGGGCGCCCCCUUCCGGCUUGGGGCCGCAUAGCGCUCCGUCGGGCCCGGCCUGGGCCGUAGAUUUCGAAUUGCCUGAGGAAGCUACCUCACCGCUGCCGGGAAGCGGCCCCGACGCCCGCCGCCCGCGAAGGAAGGACCGCGGACGGCUCUCAGUUUCUAAAGGCCCGGAAGGUUGAUUCCGGAAACCCCUCUCGGGAGGAAAGCAGGCCACCUCUGUCAGGGAACUGACAGCCAACAGCCGACUUGGUCAGGGCUGACUCAAGCGGAAACAGUCUUCCGAUCCUGCUCCCCCGUCUCCCCCUUGACACCAUCUUAUUCCUUGGGUGGUGAAGAAAACCGCCCAUCAUAAACCAACAAACAUGAAAA
Molecule: long non-coding RNA, 516 nt
Organism: Ornithorhynchus anatinus (platypus)
Lineage: Eukaryota; Metazoa; Chordata; Mammalia; Monotremata; Ornithorhynchidae
Exons: 2
Source: RefSeq, a predicted model, not a curated record